This 636-nucleotide long non-coding RNA is filed under the name Dasypus novemcinctus (nine-banded armadillo). RNAcentral describes it as "lncRNA (ENSDNOG00000052744.1)". Lineage: Eukaryota; Metazoa; Chordata; Mammalia; Cingulata; Dasypodidae. The record is from RNAcentral.
AGGCGAUGGCAGCAGAGGAGGCUCAGGCACGCGAACGCCGAGGCCAGCGAAGGUCCCAUUCACGUCAAAAAGAAUAUGAGCAAAGACCAUCAUCUGUAGGGAAGUACUACAAGGAUAAGAAAACUGUAAGACAAAAUUACAUUCUUGAGCAGUUGAGAAAAUAAGAUGAAUACGCUUGCAUGAUUCAGAGGGCAGUGUGACAUGUACGGAAGCAAGGGUAGGCUGGCGUGGCGGGGUCUCUGGGUGGCACGUGAGCUGACUUUAAGUUGACGGAGGUGGGUGGGCUCCAUCAAGAGGAGGGUCCCGAAGUGGGGCCUGAAGAAUGAUGGUGCUGGAAUCCGUGGGCACAAGGAGCACCUUUCAGGUGAGGAAAACUGCACAGGUGAAAGCACGGCGGAGGGAGCCAGCGUGGCAAAGGAGGGAGAUGGAUCAAUGAAAACCCAGUCUCAGAGGUGGGGAGGGCCAGUGCUUAGCCACAGGAACUAACACACUCUUGGUAGAAGGAUUUGUCUAAAGGUCUAGCCUGUCAGAGGAAGCAUGUCGUGUGGCAGCGGAGAGCCUGGCCUGUCACAGAAGAAUGUCUGAUUCAAAUCCCUCCUUUGCUCUGGGGCACUCUGUUUCCUUACCUGGAAGCUG